Molecule: small RNA, 74 nt
Filed under: Panagrolaimus superbus
Lineage: Eukaryota; Metazoa; Nematoda; Chromadorea; Rhabditida; Panagrolaimidae
Also listed under: 1 other name
Description: Makes More Granules Regulator RNA (mmgR)
Rfam family: Makes More Granules Regulator RNA (mmgR)
About the family: SuhB later renamed mmgR (makes more granules regulator) was a putative non-coding RNA found multiple times in the Agrobacterium tumefaciens genome and related alpha-proteobacteria. Other non-coding RNAs uncovered in the same analysis include: speF, ybhL, metA, and serC.
Source: Rfam by way of RNAcentral
UGUUUUCGCCCGCAAGGGCGUUUCCUCCCUAGAUUUUGGACCGCACGUUUGUGCGGUCUUUUUUUAUGCGGAUU